RNAcentral lists this ribosomal RNA (301 nucleotides) under uncultured bacterium. RNAcentral describes it as "partial 16S ribosomal RNA". It matches the Rfam family "Bacterial small subunit ribosomal RNA", at positions 509 to 807 of the family's 1533-position model. The record is from RNAcentral.
CAGCCGCCGCGGUAAUACGUAGGGUGCAAGCGUUAAUCGGAAUUACUGGGCGUAAAGCGUGCGCAGGCGGUUAUAUAAGACAGAUGUGAAAUCCCCGGGCUCAACCUGGGAACUGCAUUUGUGACUGUAUAGCUAGAGUACGGCAGAGGGGGAUGGAAUUCCGCGUGUAGCAGUGAAAUGCGUAGAUAUGCGGAGGAACACCGAUGGUGAAGGCAAUCCCCUGGGCCUGUACUGACGCUCAUGCACGAAAGCGUGGGGAGCAAACAGGAUUAGAUACCCCAGUAGUCCCUGUCUCUUAUAC